UACGGAGGAUCCGAGCGUUAUCCGGAUUUAUUGGGUUUAAAGGGAGCGUAGGCGGGUUGUUAAGUCAGUUGUGAAAGUUUGCGGCUCAACCGUAAAAUUGCAGUUGAUACUGGCAUCCUUGAGUACAGUAGAGGUAGGCGGAAUUCGUGGUGUAGCGGUGAAAUACUUAGAUAUCACGAAGAACUCCGAUUGCGAAGGCAGCCUGCUGGACUGUAACUGACGCUGAUGCUCGAAAGUGUGGGUAUCAAACAGG
RNAcentral lists this ribosomal RNA (253 nucleotides) under uncultured bacterium. RNAcentral's name for it is "partial 16S ribosomal RNA". It matches the Rfam family "Bacterial small subunit ribosomal RNA", at positions 524 to 776 of the family's 1533-position model. The record is from RNAcentral.